Macrobrachium nipponense is the source of this 1888-nucleotide long non-coding RNA. RefSeq lists it as uncharacterized. The transcript is spliced from 3 exons. NCBI's taxonomy places the organism in Eukaryota, Metazoa, Arthropoda, Malacostraca, Decapoda, Palaemonidae. The record is from RefSeq and is a predicted model, not a curated record.
GAGCCGUUCCAGAGCAUAAUCAUCCAUAACUACUAUUACUUCAUCGUCUCGCCACUACGGUUCGAAUUUAAAACAAAAUUAUUAGCCUGUUGUGUGUUCUUAUGAUCUUAGGUGGAAGAGUUAUAUCAUGUUUGGAUUAACCCAUGUUAAUAACACCUCUCUGCUCAUGAGUUAUACCUAUCCCUCAAGUCGGAAUUAAGAAAACUUGAAGCAGACUACCAAUAGGUUUAGCCCUCCUGGUGCUGAUACAGCUUUUGCUAUUGUGGACUUGGAUGGUGGCUGCAUUCUGUUAUGGAAAGCUGUAAGAACUAUAAUGCUGUCUUGAUAACUGAGGAACAACUGCUUAUCUAAGGAUGACGAAAUGUGCAGUUCCUCACUGCCCAAAUAGAAAAAUGAAGUGGAUACAAAGGAAAGGGGGCACUACCUUUCACAGACUUCCAUGAAACAGAGAAGACAUACUUUUGCAGUGUGUUGUGAACCUCCAGAUUCCUGUAUUAGGAAAUACCACUGAUCUUUUUUGGAAAGGGAUGCUGUACCUACUAUCUUUAAAGCCAAAGAAAACUCUAAAAAGGUAAACUAUUCUAAUUGUUUUGAGGUUUGGAGUUAUCUUUUAUCUAGAGCAAAAGUUUGAUGUGUCAAUGUAUUUUUGGAAUUAGUUUUUGGUGCCACAUUAUGUCACUACAAUAGAUAAAUAUAUUUUAGUGACCCUAUGCUUCCCCCCCAAGAAAUGGCUCAAAAAUAGCAACUAAGGUUUAAUUGUAAAGUUGGGAGAUAAUGUGAGGUAAGGUUUUCUCAGCUGCUAACUGCUAUAGCUUCUUAUUGUACUUCUUUCCAAUCCAGAUUCAUGAUACUGUACUGUAAUACUAAUUACUUAAACAUUAUCAUAUUGACCAUUUUUAUUAUCCGUAUUUUUACUAUUACUAUGGUCAUUAUCAAAAGUCUUGCCAUAAUUGGAAAGUAUAUCAUUGAAAGCAUUAGUGCUGGUUGUCUCGGGACAAAUAUCUUUUCAGCACUCAACUCUUUAAAUGUUAACCAAUAAUUUUUGGGUCAUGUAUGAUGUUACUUUAUUAGUGUGUUACCUGCUGCAUAUGCAUUAUGAUUUCAUAUGAAAAUUCAUGUGUUUUAUCAAUCAUUAUAGCAAUGACAGAUAUUACAAACAAGAUUUUGGCUCAAAAGCAUGAUUUUGAUGUUGACAAAGCCAUGUAUUCAGAGUGGCAUAAACGUCAGGAUAGCCCACAUAAUUGUUUAUGAAAUACAUACAUAGGUAGAAAAAAAAAUGCCUGUCAUAAGAAGUGGGUCAUUAACAUGAGAUGAUAAUGGGGACUUUUCUUCAAGUUUAUGUGUGAAAUCACACACAAUUCAGAUAAAAAUGUUGCGAGUUGCAAUAUCUCGCAAAAACAAUGAUUCAGCAUAUAAAAAGGUUUGUACUUAGCAUAGACACACAAAAUCUUAAAUAUGUGAUAUAAAUUUCAAACUGCUUUGUUGAAAGUGCCAUACUCCCAAUUUUUAUAAUUGUUUUCUCCUAAUUCUGCUUUGACUUAUGUAGAAAACUUACCUGUUCAUGAUUACUCAUCCAUAAUCAACCAGUUUUAUUCAUAAACAUGAAAAAAUGGGAGAGCUGUAUGGCUGUAAAAUACACCCAAAGAAGACUUCAGGAAAGAGAAUUCACAGUAAGAAAUUUGUGGGAAUCACAACUCAUUUUUCUCAUCCAUCAGUUGACUGCACACAAAAAUAUAUUUAGUGUUCAGUAUACGUCAUUAUCACAAGCUCUUAGAGGACAAGGGAACUCUGUUGAGUUCUGUGUAUGGAGAUUAUCAUUUAAUUUCAGUGCACAAUGCAUAAACUGAAGGACACAUUUUUUUAUACUACAUAUAUUUCCAUUUCAGUC